Molecule: ribosomal RNA, 465 nt
Filed under: Vibrio splendidus
Lineage: Bacteria; Pseudomonadati; Pseudomonadota; Gammaproteobacteria; Vibrionales; Vibrionaceae
Description: bacterial SSU rRNA
Rfam family: Bacterial small subunit ribosomal RNA
Source: RNAcentral
AAAUUGAAGAGUUUGAUCAUGGCUCAGAUUGAACGCUGGCGGCAGGCCUAACACAUGCAAGUCGAGCGGAAACGACACUAACAAUCCUUCGGGUGCGUUAAUGGGCGUCGAGCGGCGGACGGGUGAGUAAUGCCUAGGAAAUUGCCUUGAUGUGGGGGAUAACCAUUGGAAACGAUGGCUAAUACCGCAUAAUGCCUACGGGCCAAAGAGGGGGAUCUUCGGACCUCUCGCGUCAAGAUAUGCCUAGGUGGGAUUAGCUAGUUGGUGAGGUAAUGGCUCACCAAGGCGACGAUCCCUAGCUGGUCUGAGAGGAUGAUCAGCCACACUGGAACUGAGACACGGUCCAGACUCCUACGGGAGGCAGCAGUGGGGAAUAUUGCACAAUGGGCGAAAGCCUGAUGCAGCCAUGCCGCGUGUAUGAAGAAGGCCUUCGGGUUGUAAAGUACUUUCAGUUGUGAGGAAGGG